UGCGUAGGUGGCUUAACAAGUUGGUAGUGAAAUUCCGAGGCUUAACUUCGGCGCUACUACCAAGACUGUUGAGCUUGAGUACAGGAGAGGUAAGUGGAAUUCCUAGUGUAGCGGUGGAAUGCGUAGAUAUUAGGAGGAACACCAGUGGCGAAGGCGACUUACUGGCCUGCAACUGACACUGAGGCACGAAAGCGUGGGGAGCAAACA
RNAcentral lists this ribosomal RNA (207 nucleotides) under uncultured bacterium. RNAcentral describes it as "partial 16S ribosomal RNA". It matches the Rfam family "Bacterial small subunit ribosomal RNA", at positions 568 to 774 of the family's 1533-position model. The record is from RNAcentral.